Non-coding RNA from Aegilops tauschii subsp. strangulata, 1323 nucleotides. NCBI's taxonomy places the organism in Eukaryota, Viridiplantae, Streptophyta, Magnoliopsida, Poales, Poaceae. The record is from RefSeq and is a predicted model, not a curated record.
GCAAAUUCUAUAACAGAUGUCAUAUAUGGUACCUACCUUGGAAAUUUUCUGCGAACGGCAUUUUUUUAAGCAUGGAUUUGGUAGCAAAAUUUAUUUUGGACGAGCCACAAAAGAGGUAGUUAUCGAGGAGUUUCUGCGGGUCCUUUGUUUUCGAGUCACGUUUGGUCGGUUUUAGGGCAAAUUCUAUAACAGAUGCCAUAUAUGGUAGCUAACUUGGAAAAUUUCUGUGAACGACAUUUUUUAAGCAUGGAUUGGGCAGCAAAAAGUUAUUUUGGACGUGCCACGAAAGAGGUAUUUAUCGAGGAGUUUUUGCGUGUCCUUUGUUUUCGAGUCGCGUUUGGUCGGUUUUAGGGUAAAUUCUGUACAAGAUGUCAUGUAUGGUUACCUAACUUGGAAAAUUUCUAUGAACGGAAUUUUUUAAGAAUGGAUUGGGUAGCUAAAGUUAUUUUGGACAAGCCAAAAAAGAGGUAGUUAUAGAGGAGGUUUUGCGUGUCCUUUGUUUUCGAGUCGCGUUUGGUUGGUUCAAGGGCAAAUUCUGUACAAGAUGUCAUAUAUGGGUACCUAACUUGGAAAAAUUCUGUGAACAACAUUUGUUAAGCAUGGAUUGGGUAGCAAAAAGUAAUGUUGGACGAGCCACUAAAGAGGUAGUUAUCGAGGAGUUUUUGCGUGUCCUUUGUUUUCGAGUGGCUUUUGGUCGGUUUUAGCGCAAAUUCUGUACAACAUGUCAUAUAUGUGUACCUAACUUUGGAAUAAUUCUGUGAAUGGCAUUUUUUAAGCAUCGAUUGGGUAGAAAAAAGUUAUUUUGGAAGAGCCACGAAAGAGGUAGUUAUCGAGGAGUUUUUGCAUGUCAUUUGUUUUUGAGUCGCGUUUGGUCUGUUUUAGGGAAAAUUCUGUACAAGAUGUCAUAUAUGGGUACCGAACUUGGAAAAGUUCUAUGACCGGAUUUUUAAGCAUGGAUUGGGUAGCCAAAAGUUAUUUUGCACGAGCCACAAAAGAGAUAUUUAUCGAGGAGUUUUUGCGUGUCAUUUGUUGUCGAGUCGCGUUUGGUCGGUUUUAGGGUAAAUUCUGUACAAGAUGUCAUGUAUGGUUACCUAACUUGGAAAAUUUCUAUGAACGGAAUUUUUUAAGAAUGGAUUGGGUAGCUAAAAGUUAUUUUGGAUGAGCCAAGGAAGAGGUAGUUAUAGAGGAGGUUUUGCGUGUCCUUUGUUUUCGAGUCGCGUUUGGUUGGUUCAAGGGCAAAUUUUGUACAAGAUGUCAUAUAUGGGUACCUACUUGGAAAAAUUCUGUCAAUGACAUUUUUAAGCAUAGACUGGGUAGCAAAAA